CUAUCAGAGUUUAUUGGCAUUCUGUCCACCUCCACUUUCUUCUCUUCUCUUCUCUCUCAAAGAGACACGUCAACCAUCCAUCCAUGGAGGUGGGCAUACUGCCAACUCAGUUCUGUUAG
This 119-nucleotide microRNA precursor is filed under the name Phaseolus vulgaris (common bean). RNAcentral's name for it is "pre miRNA MIR394". It matches the Rfam family "MIR394 microRNA precursor family". The record is from Rfam by way of RNAcentral. Lineage: Eukaryota; Viridiplantae; Streptophyta; Magnoliopsida; Fabales; Fabaceae.